RNAcentral lists this ribosomal RNA (460 nucleotides) under uncultured bacterium. RNAcentral's name for it is "partial 16S ribosomal RNA". It matches the Rfam family "Bacterial small subunit ribosomal RNA", at positions 338 to 795 of the family's 1533-position model. The record is from RNAcentral.
CCUACGGGAGGCUGCAGUGAGGAAUAUUGGACAAUGGGCGGGAGCCUGAACCAGCGAAGUCGCGUGAGGGAAGACGGUCCUAUGGAUUGUAAACCUCUUUAGGCGGGGAGCACUUCCGCGCACGUGUGCCCUGACGGACAGUACCCGCAGUAUAAGCCUCGGCUAACUCCGUGCCAGCAGCCGCGGUAAUACGGAGGAUGCGAGCGUUAUCCGGAUUUAUUGGGUUAAAGGGGUGCGUAGGCGGAGUUUUAAGUCAGCGGUAAAAUGUCCGGGCUCAACCCGGGCCGGCCGUUGAAACUGGGGAUCUUGAGUGGGCGAGAGGUAAGCGGAAUGCGUGGUGUAGCGGUGAAAUGCAUAGAUAUCACGCAGAACACCGAUUGCGAAGGCAGCAUACCGGGGCCAGACUGACGCUGAGGCACGAAAGCGUGGGGAGCGAACAGGAUUAGAUACCCGAGUAGUC